RNAcentral lists this long non-coding RNA (232 nucleotides) under Lathyrus oleraceus (garden pea). RNAcentral's name for it is "Pisum sativum (pea) long non-coding RNA (PSAT_LNC006586)". Lineage: Eukaryota; Viridiplantae; Streptophyta; Magnoliopsida; Fabales; Fabaceae. The record is from RNAcentral.
UUUGAGGUCUUUAUCAUAUGUCAAUUCUGUUUUAGGCUUGUGCUAAGUUGAUGUAGCAUUUGGUGUCUCAUUUGAGCUUGUUUUGACUGCCUUGACUUGAUGAAUUUGAUUACCAUGCUUAAUCAUGUCCAAAUGCCUUGAUUUUUUGUGUAAUGAUCAUGUUUUGUGUUCUGUUUAGCCAUGAUUUUUCUUGAGAUUAAUUGAAUCAUUUUGGAAUUAAUGUGCAUUUGUU